This 373-nucleotide ribosomal RNA is filed under the name uncultured organism. RNAcentral describes it as "partial 16S ribosomal RNA". It matches the Rfam family "Bacterial small subunit ribosomal RNA", at positions 527 to 896 of the family's 1533-position model. The record is from RNAcentral.
GUAGGUGGCAAGCGUUGUCCGGAAUUAUUGGGCGUAAAGCGUGCGCAGGCGGUUCUUUAAGUCUGAUGUGAAAGCCCACGGGCUCAACCGUGGAGGGUCAUUGGAAACUGGAGAACUUGAGUACAGAAGGGGAAAGCGGAAUUCCACGUGUAGCGGUGAAAUGCGUAGAGAUGUGGAGGAACACCAGUGGCGAAGGCGGCUUUCUGGUCUGUAACUGACGCUGAGGCGCGAAAGCGUGGGGAGCAAACAGGAUUAGAUACCCUGGUAGUCCACGCCGUAAACGAUGAGUGCUAAGUGUUAGGGGGUUUCCGCCCCUUAGUGCUGCAGCUAACGCAUUAAGCACUCCGCCUGGGGAGUACGGCCGCAAAGGCUG